CUGCUGCCUCCCGUAGGAGUCUGGUCCGUGUCUCAGUACCAGUGUGGGGGACCUUCCUCUCAGAACCCCUAGACAUCGUCGCUUUGGUGGGCCGUUACCCCGCCAACAAGCUAAUGUCACGCAUGCCCAUCCGUCUCCGGAGUCGCCUCCUUUGGCCGAAAGAAGAUGCCUCCCCUCGGCCACAUGCGGUAUUAGGCCGGAUUUCUCCGGGUUAUCCCGCUGAAACGGGCAGGUUGCAUACGCGUUACUCACCCGUGCGCCGGUCGCCGGG
Molecule: ribosomal RNA, 271 nt
Filed under: uncultured bacterium
Lineage: Bacteria
Description: partial 16S ribosomal RNA
Source: RNAcentral